Molecule: long non-coding RNA, 2718 nt
Filed under: Homo sapiens (human)
Lineage: Eukaryota; Metazoa; Chordata; Mammalia; Primates; Hominidae
Description: HSALNT0333557
Source: RNAcentral
CACACACCCACUUCCCUCAGCCUCAUUGUCCAUCCUCUACAUGUUCCAGGACAACUAAGUCAUGUCUAACUUACUGAGAGUUGGACAUCAUUUUUUCCAGUCUACAUGGGUCCACCCCAGCAGUGGGUUUGCCCCAUGCCCUGAGGUCCUUGAUAAACCCAUACCCUGAGAAAGUGCUCCCAAGCCAAAGGUGUUUUUUUUUAAUUUAUCCAGCUUGAUUCUGGCCCUUUGAUCAAACACCCUUAAAUUCCAAUCCCAGAACUGCUCCUCAGGCUCCUACGGGGACAUAACGGCUGUUACUGCAAAGCUCCUGAGUGGAAUUCCCACUGCAUCAUAGGGGUGAGGUUUCUGCAGCAUCUUCCAGUGUAGGAAGUGGGAACCAUUACUAGAGAAGGGCGAGCCUCCUCUGCAUGCCCAGAGAGUUCUAAAGGGCACCCAUAGGAUAACCCUGUUCCAGUUUGCAGAAUCUUAGGUUUCCGCACCAAGGCCUUGACUUUCCCACAGCAGGUCUGCCUCUGAUGAGUGUCCAAACAUCUCUGUAGUACUGUGACUUUUAAAAUGAUGUCAUCAGCUAUCAUUCCACUCUGCAAGGGGAGAGGGGCAGAUGCCCCUCCUCGGUCUGUCUCCACCAGGCCCUGUGAGGGUGGGUGGAGGCUCUCUCCAAGCCCUCGUUUGGCCCCACCCCAGCAUGUCUCCAGGUUCCUCUCAGCCCUGGUUCCUUUUGGCCCUGCAGUCACAAUGGGCAACACUGUGACGCACCCUGUCCUGUGUCACAGUGUCAUACACUCAGGCUCACAUUGCCCCUAGGCCACUUGCCAGCCAAGGGACAUGGCCACAUUUUGUGUCUUCUGCACCUCAGCCUUGCUUUCAAGUGCAGGAUGCUGACUCCUGCGUCCAUCUCAACCUGGGCAUCGUGCCACCACCUUCAAGAAGAGAAAAACUAAGUAGUGCUUUGCAAAGGGGCAGCAGCAUUUCUCAUUUCUGACCAUGUCAGGCACACGGCCAUGCAGAUGAGCAGGUGGGGGACACAGUGAGGCUGUGAACACCCUAUCUCACUGACCUCAGAAGGACAGUACAGCAGUAGCCACCAUGACCAAAAAGAUGAUUCCAGAAGUGCAGGACAACUCCCUACCCAGAGGCUGUGGCUGUGCAGUAACACACCAAGAGGGGAGUCCAGCUGGCUCUCAGGGUGCUCACUACCCUCAUCUGGGGGCCUGGAGGACGUCAAUUCCUGAGAACGCCACGUUCUAGUGAGUAGAAUGAACUAAGAGAUACACAGCAAAGCUCCACAUACUUUUCCUUUUCUUUGUGCCCGCAGUGUUCUUCAUCAGUGUGCUCUCGCUUUUCAGCUACUACUGUUGGCUGGCUGGAAAAAAUAGAACAAUAGUAAAAAUUAGAGACCAGUCUUUGGUGAUGAAGAGAAAUAUUGGCUACUUCCAGUAUUUUCUAGCUUUGGUUAUGGUUGCAGUUUUCCAGCUCACCUUGUGGGGAUGAAUUCAGAAAAAAGUUACAAAUUGAAAUGAACAUGCCAGAAGUAUUGGCUCAAAUCAACGUUGUCCUAUUAAGCCACUUAGUGAAUCAAAAGACCGCUUGUUGGACUGUUAAUCUCGGUGGCCAGAGAAAGGAGCUGAAGAAGGUGUUGCCAGAUCAGGAACAAAUAAUUACAGCGGCAAUAGAAAAUGGAAGACCACUUGUUCAUAACCAUUUGAAUAAGGGCAAGGUGUAUGGAAACACAUUAUGAACUGAUAUUUUCAGUUUUGUUUGCAAGAAAAUGAUUAAUAAGGUGAAAUAAUUGAAGUAUCACGGAAGAUACAUUAAAAAAAAAAAAAAGCCUUUGUACAGUUUGCUGGAGCCACAGAUGUCCUACUCCAGAGCAGAACAAUGCCUGAAUCUUCAGGGUCCAUUUGUGCCGCAUUCACUAGCAACCACAAAUGUGACUUAAUUUUACUUUGGAAAUAAUGCUUACCUAUUGUGAGAUGCUGUAAUAUGAACCAUCAUUACAUGUUAACAUGGCACAUGGAAUUUUGAGUGUCUAAGUUACAUUUUUAGAGUUGUUUCUUAGUAGCCAUGUGAGUUUCCACUCCAAAAACACAAGCUAAAAACUUGUUUUGAGUGAAGGACAUCUAGGGCAAAUGGUGGCUGAAAGUGAAUGAGAUCCCAAUUACUCUUUCUUGUACUGUAUAAGGAAAAGAAAAUAAGUGCUUUUCUUGUUGGGUGUUUGCUAAUUUAUAAUUACCGUUUUAUGCUUUUCAACAUUUUUAAUAAAGUUUUUUAUUGUUGGCUAUAAACGUUUUAAAAGGAUUCUCUUCCUCUAGAAUCACUCUAAGUACCAAAAUCUGUAUUAUUCUGGAUUCAACAGAGAAACAGAACCAAUAAGGGGUGUGUGUGUGUGUGUGUGUGUGUGUGUGUGUGUGUAUGUGUGUGUUUUAUUCGUGUUAUGAAACUGACUCAUGCAAUUAUUACGGUGGCAAGUGUGAAAUCUGUAGGAUACGCCAGCAGGCUGAAAAUGCAGACAGAAGUUGAUAUGGUAGUCUUAAGACAGAAUUUCUUCUUUUCUGGGAAACUGUAGUUUCUGCUCUUAAAGCCUUCUACUGAUUGGAUGAGGUCCAUCUACAUUAUUGAGGGUAAUUUCCUUUUCAUAAAGUCAACUGAUUGUAAAUGUUAACCACAUGUACUAAAUAUCUUCACAGCAACAUCUAGAUUAGGUUUUGAUUAAAU